RNAcentral lists this ribosomal RNA (495 nucleotides) under uncultured bacterium. RNAcentral's name for it is "partial 16S ribosomal RNA". It matches the Rfam family "Bacterial small subunit ribosomal RNA", at positions 29 to 506 of the family's 1533-position model. The record is from RNAcentral.
AUGAACGCUGGCGGCGUGCCUAAUACAUGCAAGUCGAGCGCACAGACGAGGAGCUUGCUCCUCUGACGUUAGCGGCGGACGGGUGAGUAACACGUGGAUAACCUACCUAUAAGACUGGGAUAACUUCGGGAAACCGGAGCUAAUACCGGAUAAUAUAUUGAACCGCAUGGUUCAAUAGUGAAAGACGGUUUUGCUGUCACUUAUAGAUGGAUCCGCGCCGCAUUAGCUAGUUGGUAAGGUAACGGCUUACCAAGGCGACGAUGCGUAGCCGACCUGAGAGGGUGAUCGGCCACACUGGAACUGAGACACGGUCCAGACUCCUACGGGAGGCAGCAGUAGGGAAUCUUCCGCAAUGGGCGAAAGCCUGACGGAGCAACGCCGCGUGAGUGAUGAAGGUCUUCGGAUCGUAAAACUCUGUUAUUAGGGAAGAACAAAUGUGUAAGUAACGAUGCACGUCUGGACGGUACCUAAUCAGAAAGCCACGGCUAACUACGG